CUCAAAUCACACCUCCCAGGAGGCUGCCCGUGCCGCCUCGUCAGACAGCCAGCCCCCGUGCAAACACCACGCCCUUUCGAAGACCAGAAGUGAGGCUUGUCCAAGAAUUCUGGACAGAAGUCGGUGCUAGAGCCAGCUCAGGAGCUCAGCGACACUGAGUGUCACCACUGUCUGGAUGGUUCUCUGGAGCUUUCACUUUCGUUUGUGACCUUGUAACUGCAACAUGACUGCACCCCACCUGCAGCCCACGUGCUGCAGCCCUGUGUCCAAUCCAGGAAGAAGAGGAGAGGACUGCCGGGUCUGGCCUUUUUAUGAGAAAAGCAAAGAUUUCCCAGAAACCUACCCACAGACUUCCGUAUCCGUUUCAUUUGCCCAAUGUGUCACACGGCCACCUCUGGAUGCAGUGGAAGCCAGAAGGGCAGGAUGCCACCAUGGCAUGGCUUGAUGAGCGAUGUGUAGGUCUUCGUCCAGGAUCUGAACCAGUGAACCCGGGGCCACUAAAGCGGAGGGCGUGAACUUAACCACCACACCACUGGGCCAGCCCCUGGAUUAGCCUUUCUUAAAAAAUGCCUUUUUCAGUUGAAUGCUUAGUUCACUUCUGCUCUAUGUUUAUUAUUUUCUAAUAUGUGCGCUUGGGGCUCUCCAUUUACUCUGGCUUUGUUUUCAUC
This 668-nucleotide long non-coding RNA is filed under the name Equus caballus (horse). RNAcentral describes it as "lncRNA (ENSECAG00000052776.1)". Lineage: Eukaryota; Metazoa; Chordata; Mammalia; Perissodactyla; Equidae. The record is from RNAcentral.